This is a long non-coding RNA of Stegostoma tigrinum, 1234 nucleotides long. RefSeq lists it as uncharacterized. The record is from RefSeq and is a predicted model, not a curated record. The transcript has 4 exons. NCBI's taxonomy places the organism in Eukaryota, Metazoa, Chordata, Chondrichthyes, Orectolobiformes, Stegostomatidae.
CGGUUUCUUUAAAGUAACUUGUACUAGAAAUAUUAUUGCAUACCUUUGCAGGAGGUGGGAUAUGAACUUAGAUUUUUUUAAGCUCAGAGAUAGGGUAACUACGACUGCACGACAAGCUGCCUAAUGAGCGUGGUGGAAGCAGAAUAUUCUAGGAUUACUUUCUCCAUUGCCUAACUUUGAUGUCCCUCGAAAAUCACCACUUGAACACCGUUGCAGAGCAUGGUGCAUAAAUGGAAUGAACUGCCAGAGGAAGUGGUAAACGCAGGAGUUCACGAGAGUCUCAUGAGAAUUGUAACAGCUCAUCCAUCAAGUCUUCCCAGUGACUCUAUGCUCAGCUUUUUGUGGUUAAUUACAUAACGGAACAACCAGAAAAUGCCAUUCUUUCAACGGAAAGGAAAAAUAAAAGCUGCCAACUGGAAACAUUGCAAAUUCAAUCUGCCAAGUGGAACAAGAAAGAGACAAAGAUGAAGAGAAUGAAAUGUAAAGCCAAUAAAGGUGAUGUGCAGAAAUAUGUAGGACUAAGAUUCCAAAACGGGAAAUCUUGCUAUUCUGAAGAAGAGUCAAGGCCCGAAACGUCGGCUUUCCUGCUCCUGUGAUGCUGCUUGGCCUGCUGUGUUUAUCCACCUUCACACCUUGUUAUCUCAGAUUCUCCAGCUCCUACUAUCUCAGGCCAACCUUAUUGUUUUUUUUAACGAGUUAACAGGGGAAGCAAACAAAAGUGUAGAGCUGGAAGAACACAGGCCAAGCAGCAUCAGAGGAGCAGCAAACCUGACAUUUCGGGUCUGGACCUGCCCGAAGGGUUCCACACCUGAAACGUCAGCAUUCCUGCUCAUCUGAUGCUGCCUGGCCUGCUGUGUUCCUCCAGCUCCACAACUUGUUAUCUCAGACUCCAGCAUCGACAGUUCCUACUAUCUCUAAGCAAACAAAAGUAAUGGACUAGAUAUAAUUUAUUUAGAUUUUCAAAAGCUCUUUGAUAAGGUGCUCAGAAUAAUGAAAUGGUCAAAGCAUGUUCAGUCAGGAGACAGGUGGCAGAUUGGAUUGUUAAUUAGCUUCAAGAUAAAAGCAGAGUGAGAUUGAAGUGUAGUUAUUCAGUGGAGGGGAAGGUGGGAAGUUCUGCUUCACAAGAAUCAGCGUUGGGACUGCAGCUGUUCAAGCAAGACAAUUCCAACCUGAACUUUGGAAUGAAAGAUAACAAGGUGUAGAGCUGGAUGAACACAGCAGCCAAGAAGCAUCA